This 553-nucleotide long non-coding RNA is filed under the name Daphnia pulicaria. RNAcentral describes it as "uncharacterized LOC124327390, transcript variant X2". Lineage: Eukaryota; Metazoa; Arthropoda; Branchiopoda; Diplostraca; Daphniidae. The record is from RNAcentral.
UGCACACCUCUCAAGAAAUUUCUCGCUGCUACCACAAGGAAAUUUUGGGUGAUGGCUGACAGUUUCUGUUUCAGCAACAAAGCUCACUUGAGUUAACGUGAAAGGGUCGUGGCCGUAAUACAGCCUACUGCCUACCGUCAACUAUUAUGUUCAAAAUCAUAGUAUUCUACUGAAUGUGCCAUCGAAAUUAUACAGGAGUCAUAAUUAUCUGCUGUUUGUAUUGGACUUGCUAGAUCACCAACCCCAGCAUAGACCAAUCUCUCAUUUCUUUUUCUCGAGAGAAGAUCUAUGACUGAUUGGUGUUUUCAUGUGUUCUAAACUCUAAAUUUAGUCAUGUCCUUUCAAUAAAGUCAACAAGGUCCCUUGUUUACUAACCUGUUGGCUGCUACCCUUGAAUCUCCCUUUUUACUUUCUUAAGCGGGCCAUCUUUAUUUAAGGGUAUUCCUUCGCUACUUGUCAUGGACUUCAUCCACUGGUGAAAACCGACGAGAGAAUGCAGUAAUCCAAGACUGAUAAAUUGUGUAGUUAGGUUCAAUUACAAGUGCAUAUCUGG